CUCUGAUCGUUUUCUGUUGUCUCCGACGGCUCUUGCUGGGUUAGUGGUGGUCUUGCAUGCAUGCCUCGACUUGAAGGCGAUUAUUUUGGGAAAGUAUCAUUAUAUGCUUUAUAUCCUUGUCUUAGCCAUGCAGCCGAGGAUGCUAUUAACAGUGGAUGAAAAUCUGAAACCUUUGUCUGUACCUGUGAGGGUCGGCCAGGCUGUUGAUGUGGUUGGACAGGCAGGACGCCCGAAAACUAUCACUGGUUUUCAGACCCAUUCUACUCCCGUGUUACUUGCUGCAGGCGAUCGAGCUGAGCUUGCAACGGAGAAGUACAUACCUCUUUCGCCAGUUCUUGAAGGUUUUGUAAUCCUGAGAGAAAACCCAGACUACCGUGAAGACAACUGAGUAGGGUUUUGUAAUCCUUUGAGAAAACCCGGACUGCCGUGAAGACAACUGAGUUGGGUUUUGUAAUCCUUUGAGAAAACCCGGACUGCCGUGAAGACAACUGAGUU
RNAcentral lists this unclassified non-coding RNA (495 nucleotides) under Hevea brasiliensis (rubber tree). Lineage: Eukaryota; Viridiplantae; Streptophyta; Magnoliopsida; Malpighiales; Euphorbiaceae. The record is from RNAcentral.